UACCCCGGAAGGUCCUGGAAGACUCUAGAAGGCUCUAGAAGACUCUAGAAGACUCUAGAAAAUUCUAGAACACUCUAGAACACUCUAGAAAAAUCUAGAAGACUCUAGAACACUCUAGAACACUCUAGAAGACUCGAGAAGACUCUAGAAGACUCUAGAAUUGUGCAGAUUGUUGAAGACAAGCCUAGAAUCAUGUGGANNN
This 202-nucleotide long non-coding RNA is filed under the name Nicotiana benthamiana. RNAcentral's name for it is "long non-coding RNA (NBEN_LNC040045)". The record is from RNAcentral. Lineage: Eukaryota; Viridiplantae; Streptophyta; Magnoliopsida; Solanales; Solanaceae.